This 492-nucleotide ribosomal RNA is filed under the name uncultured bacterium. Its description in RNAcentral is "partial 16S ribosomal RNA". It matches the Rfam family "Bacterial small subunit ribosomal RNA", at positions 29 to 507 of the family's 1533-position model. The record is from RNAcentral.
AGUGAACGCUGGCGGUAGGCCUAACACAUGCAAGUCGAACGGCAGCACAGUAAGAGCUUGCUCUUACGGGUGGCGAGUGGCGGACGGGUGAGGAGUACAUCGGAAUCUACUUUUUCGUGGGGGAUAACGUAGGGAAACUUACGCUAAUACCGCAUACGACCUACGGGUGAAAGCAGGGGAUCUUCGGACCUUGCGCGAUUGAAUGAGCCGAUGUCGGAUUAGCUAGUGGGCGGGGUAAAGGCCAACCAAGGCGACGAUCCGUAGCUGGUCUGAGAGGAUGAUCAGCCACACUGGAACUGAGACACGGUCCAGACUCCUGCGGGAGGCAGCAGUGGGGAAUAUUGGACAAUGGGCGCAAGCCUGAUCCAGCCAUACCGCGUGGGUGAAGGAGGCCUUCGGGUUGUAAAGCCCUUUUGUUGGGAAAGAAAAGCAGCAGGUUAAUACCCCGCUGUUCUGACGGUACCCAAAGAAUAAGCACCGGCUAACUUCGUG